Molecule: unclassified non-coding RNA, 377 nt
Filed under: fungal sp.
Lineage: Eukaryota; Fungi
Description: partial internal transcribed spacer region
Rfam family: Eukaryotic small subunit ribosomal RNA (bases 1-46)
Source: RNAcentral
AAGUCGUAACAAAAUUUCCGUAGGUGAACCUGCGGAAGGAUCAUUAACACGUAUCCAACGUUAAACCCCCCGUGAACUUUUAUUGCGAACCACGCCUUUGUUAAAAAGUAGCAAUCCCUGGUAAAUCAUCGCCGAACAGUUUUGAUUCAGGGAUCUCUGCGAAGAGAGCGGUUGUAGCGCGAGGUAAGUGGCCUGGCAUUCCUCUGACAGUGUCACUAGCUCUGUACGAAUGGCGCAGUCACGAUCGCUAGAGGCCGACACGGCGACCGGGUCACCGGGCAUAGACCCCCCUAUCACCUUUGCAUGAAAACGGGGGUGCGCUUAAUUGUGCGACCACCAAACUCGAACAACUGUUAACAAUGGAUAUCUUGGUUCUC